This 1495-nucleotide ribosomal RNA is filed under the name Nautiliaceae bacterium. RNAcentral describes it as "bacterial SSU rRNA". It matches the Rfam family "Archaeal small subunit ribosomal RNA". The record is from RNAcentral. Lineage: Bacteria; Pseudomonadati; Campylobacterota; Epsilonproteobacteria; Nautiliales; Nautiliaceae.
UGCGGCAAGUUCCCGUUGACCCUGCGGAGGGCCUCUGCUAUGGGAGUCGGACUAAGCCAUGCAAGCCGGAGGAAGGCCUUUUGGCCUUCCAGGCGUACGGCUGAGUAACACGUCGAUAACCUAACGUGGGGUGGGGGAUAACCUCUGGGAAACUGAGGAUAAAACCCCAUAGGUAAGGGGUACUGAAAUGUCCCCUUGCCGAAAGCCCUUUUGGGCGCCCCACGAAGGGUCGGCGGCCCAUCAGGUAGUUGGUGGGGUAAUGGCCCACCAAGCCUAUGACGGGUAGGGGCCCUGAGAGGGGGAGCCCCCAGAAGGCCACUGAAACACGGGGCCUAGCCCUACGGGGUGCAGCAGGCGCGAAACCUCUGCAAUGCCUCGUAAGGGUGACAGGGCGACUCCCAGUGCCUUCGCUUCGGCGAAGGCUUUUGCGGUCUGUAAAAAGGACCGCGAAUAAGGGGUGGGUAAGUCCGGUGCCAGCCGCCGCGGUAACACCGGCGCCCCAAGUGGAGGCCCCGAUUAUUGGGUCUAAAGAGUGCGUAGCCGGCUGGGUAAGUCCUCCGUGAAAUCCGUCUCCUUAAGGGACGGCUUGCGGAGGAUACUGCCCAGCUAGGGGCCGGGAGAGGCCGGAGGUACUCCCAGGGGAGCGGUGAAAUGCGUCGAUCCUGGGAGGACCACCUGCGGCGAAGGCGUCCGGCUGGAACGGGCCCGACGGUGAGGCACGAAGGCCGGGGGAUCAAACCGGAUUAGAUACCCGGGUAGUCCCGGCAGUCAACGCUGAGGGCUAGGUGCUAGCCUUCCUUCGAGGAAGGUUAGUGCCGAAGGGAAGCCGUUAAGCCCUCCACCUGGGGAGUAUAGCCGCAAGGCCGAAACUUAAAGGGAUUGGCGGGGGAACACUACAAGGGGUGGGGGGUGUGGUUUAAUUAGAUUCAACGCUGGAAACCUCACCAGGCCCGACAGCAGGAUGAAGGUCAGCCUGAAGGGCUUACCUGACGCGCUGAGAGGUGGUGCAUGGCUGCCGUCAGCUCGUAUCGUAAGACGUCCUGUUAAGUCAGGAAACGAGCGAGACCCGCGCCCCUAGUUGCCAGCAGGCCCGUUUGGGUGACUGGGCACACUAGGGGGACUGCCUGGGAAACCAGGAGGAAGGUGCGGGCGACGGCAAGUCCGUAUGCCCCGAAUGGCCUGGGCCACACACGCCCCACAAAGGCCGGGUCAAUGGGAUGCGACCCCGAAAGGGGGAGCCAAUCCCCUAAACCCGGUCUUGGUCGGGAUUGUGGGCUGCAACUCGCCCACAUGAACGCGGAAUCCCUAGUAAUCGGGCAUAAGAAUUGCCCGGUGAAUACGUCCCUGUUCCUUGCACACACUGCCCGUCAACUCACCCGAGCUGGGCUUUGGUGAAGCCUUUCCUCAAAUGAGGAAGGGUCGAACCAAAGCUCGGUGAGGGGGGGUAAGUCGUCACAAGGUAGCCGUAGGGGAACCUGCGGCUGGAUCACCUCAA